RNAcentral lists this ribosomal RNA (104 nucleotides) under uncultured bacterium. RNAcentral describes it as "partial 16S ribosomal RNA". It matches the Rfam family "Bacterial small subunit ribosomal RNA", at positions 1378 to 1482 of the family's 1533-position model. The record is from RNAcentral.
CCGUUGUACACACCGCCCGUCACACCACGAAAGUUGGUAACACCCGAAGCCAGUGGCCUAACCGCAAGGAGGGAGCUGUCGAAGGUGGGAUCAGCGAUUGGGUG